GGCAGUGCUGCCUGUGCCGAGCUGGCAAAUAGUCUGCCCUGCGUGUGGAAUAUUAGACAGGACAAGAAGACUUUCACUUUGGCUUUUUUCCCCUCUUAAGUUUAGCUCAUUUAUGCAGCUUUUGCACUGUGAGUGAAGCCGAAUGGGUAGGGCGAGGAAGGACGCCCAAAGGAUGUAAAGGAGAGAGAAGGGCAGAGCCUGGCUGGAGGAGGGGCAUUGAGAUUUCUCUUUUUCAGCCCGCAGCUCCGCGCCCGCAGCCCAAGGCCUGACCGCUGCUGAUUGGCCUGCAGGGGCCACCUGACGGAGCCGGCCAAUCAGAGGCGCUCUCCCAGGAACGCAGGGAGAGCUCGGCAGCGGAAGCCGGAGCUGCUUAGGGGCGGCCGCGGGGCCACGUGCGGACAACUGGGCCCUGAAACAGCUGUAACCAGAGGAGCUUGAGGGAACCAAUCUGAUAAGUGCAGCCAGCUGCAAAGAAGAAAUCAACAUGUCAUUAACCAGUGUAUUGAAGCGAUGGCUAAGCCACCCUUCUGGGAGACAGAGCUUUGAAUGCAAAUCCCAUGUCCUUUACUCUCUUCAAGUAAAUGAAACUGCCUA
Artibeus jamaicensis (Jamaican fruit-eating bat) is the source of this 594-nucleotide long non-coding RNA. RefSeq lists it as uncharacterized. The record is from RefSeq and is a predicted model, not a curated record. The transcript is spliced from 3 exons. Lineage: Eukaryota; Metazoa; Chordata; Mammalia; Chiroptera; Phyllostomidae.